RNAcentral lists this ribosomal RNA (449 nucleotides) under uncultured bacterium. Its description in RNAcentral is "partial 16S ribosomal RNA". It matches the Rfam family "Bacterial small subunit ribosomal RNA", at positions 29 to 523 of the family's 1533-position model. The record is from RNAcentral.
AACGAACGCUGGCGGCAGGCCUAACUCAUGCAAGUCGAACGCUGUAGCAAUACAGAGUGGCAGACGGGUGAGUAACGCGUGGGAACAUUCCUAGUGGUACGGAAUAGCUCAGGGAAACUUGGGGUAAUACCGUAUAAGCCCUUACGGGGAAAGAUUUAUCGCCAUUAGAUUGGCCCGCGUUGGAUUAGCUAGUUGGUGAGGUAACGGCUCACCAAGGCGACGAUCCAUAGCUGGUUUGAGAGAAUGACCAGCCACACUGGGACUGAGACACGGCCCAGACUCCUACGGGAGGCAGCAGUGGGGAAUCUUGGACAAUGGGCGCAAGCCUGAUCCAGCCAUGCCGCGUGAGUGACGAAGGCCUUCGGGUUGUAAAGCUCUUUUGACGGGGACGAUAAUGACGGUACCCGUAGAAUAAGUCCCGGCUAACUUCGUGCCAGCCGCCGCGGUAA